Molecule: transfer RNA, 73 nt
Filed under: Bos taurus (domestic cattle)
Lineage: Eukaryota; Metazoa; Chordata; Mammalia; Artiodactyla; Bovidae
Also listed under: 1 other name
Rfam family: tRNA
About the family: Transfer RNA (tRNA) molecules are approximately 80 nucleotides in length. Their secondary structure includes four short double-helical elements and three loops (D, anti-codon, and T loops).
Source: Rfam by way of RNAcentral
UCCCUGGUGGUCCAGCAGGUAAGACCUCAAACUCCCAAUGCAGGGGGCCUAGGUUCAAUUCCUUGUCAGGGAA